AAGCGGGAAGCGAGCCUCAAGAUGAGUUCUCACUUGGACUUUAAGUCCACUGAAGGGCCGUGGAAGACUACCACGUUGAUAGGCAGGGUGUGUAAGCGUUGUGAGGCGUUGAGCUAACCUGUACUAAUGACCCGUGAGGCUUAACCAU
Ribosomal RNA from Ferrimonas marina, 148 nucleotides. It matches the Rfam family "Bacterial large subunit ribosomal RNA", at positions 2783 to 2925 of the family's 2925-position model. NCBI's taxonomy places the organism in Bacteria, Pseudomonadati, Pseudomonadota, Gammaproteobacteria, Alteromonadales, Ferrimonadaceae. The record is from Rfam.